UACGUAGGGUCCGAGCGUUGUCCGGAAUUAUUGGGCGUAAAGAGCUCGUAGGCGGUUUGUCGCGUCUGCUGUGAAAUCCCGAGGCUCAACCUCGGGUCUGCAGUGGGUACGGGCAGACUGGAGUGCGGUAGGGGAGAAUGGAAUUCCUGGUGUAGCGGUGAGAUGCGCAGAUAUCAGGAGGAACACCGAUGGCGAAGGCAGGUCUCUGGGCAUUAACUGACGCUGAGGAGCGAAAGCAUGGGGAGCGAACAGG
RNAcentral lists this ribosomal RNA (253 nucleotides) under uncultured bacterium. Its description in RNAcentral is "partial 16S ribosomal RNA". It matches the Rfam family "Bacterial small subunit ribosomal RNA", at positions 524 to 776 of the family's 1533-position model. The record is from RNAcentral.